Punica granatum (pomegranate) is the source of this 1487-nucleotide non-coding RNA. Lineage: Eukaryota; Viridiplantae; Streptophyta; Magnoliopsida; Myrtales; Lythraceae. The record is from RefSeq and is a predicted model, not a curated record.
CCCACCGUUAAAGUUUAACGACCUACUUUCAUUCCCUCCACCGCCUGCGCCUUUCUUUGAGUUCGCUCUGUUGAACCACCGGAGAGUCCCCGGCGACUAAAUUCCGCCACCAACAGCGGCAGACUAGAGAGUAGUUGAAGUCUUCGAAGGUCCUGAUAUUUCGAUGAGCGGCUCCUUCGCAUCAAGCGGCUUAAGGGCGGCAUUCUCCCACUGCGUGCAGCAAGUCCGGACCUACGAUUACCACCACUACCUCUGCCUCCUCGAACUCCCGCCAAUCAUGCGUAAGGCCGCCUUUGCCCUCCGAGCCUUCAACGUGGAGACUUCCCGAGCAAUGGACGUCGCUUCAGAUCCCAGGAUCGGCCUCAUGCGGCUCCUAUGGUGGCAGGAAGCCAUAGACAAGAUCUACGCCCGCAAGUCGAUCGAGCACCCGACGGCGCAGGCCCUCUCCUUGAUCGUAUCCGAGCUCAAGAUCUCCAAGUCGUGGCUAAAGAGGUCCGUCCAGGCUCGGGUCGACGAUGCAAGAAGAGAGCCCAAUGAGAUCCCAGAGACGAUCGAGGAGCUCGAGAAAUAUGCAGAAGACACUUUGUCGACGAUCCUCUACAUGACUCUCCAGGCAGGCGGGAUCCGAUCCACAGCAGCCGAUCAUGCGGCGUCUCACGUGGGGAAGGCGAGCGGGAUUCUCUUGCUUCUCAAGUCUCUCCCGUACCACGCUAAUAGACACCGGCACUCUUUGUACGUGCCGAGAAAAGUUGCGGAGAAGCACCAGUUAUUGGUCGAGAAGGCAGGGCAGAAGGAGAUUCGGCUCGAUUCCCGUGAGGCCCUCUGUGAGGCCGUGUUUGAGAUGGCUUCGGUGGCUAACAGUCACUUGGAGAAGGCUCGGGCGUUGGCCGGAACCGUGCCCAAGGAAGCCCUACCCGUGAUGCUCCAGUCCGUGCCAGCACAGGUCCUAUUGGAUUCAUUGAGGCGGGUACACUUUGAUGUAUUCGAUCCGAGACUAGCACGAGGGGUUCUGGGAAUUCCGCCCUUAUGGUACCAACUGAAGGUGAAGUGGACUUCGUGGACUGGUAAAUACUGAAUAUUUUGUCGAUCGGUAUUAAAGCAUGAUUUUCGAGACUGAACCGAACUCGAUUGGAAUCGGCAGCGAAUAAGGGGAUGGACACAUGAAGUUAAUCGAUCCACACCUUGAGUUAUAUCCGCCUUAUGAACACGACAAGAUCGAAUUGAUUAUAUAUAGAGGCCAGUAGCGAGGAACAACCGCCAAGUCGUGGUUGAGCUACCGCCAAGAUGGGGGCCUUUCGCAAGAUAUCACGAUGAAGUGGCCUUAUGUAGAGACCUGCUAUACAUACAUGUGGGUAGUACGAUUUACCAUGCAAUGCAAUGCAGCACAUCAUCAAAUUAUAAUAUCAUCCUUUGCAGAAUAUCAGCUUAUUCUCACAAUUAAAUGCAAACCAACCAAUUACUCUAUAAAAGUGUCAUUAUUUAUGUUA